This 210-nucleotide long non-coding RNA is filed under the name Phoenix dactylifera (date palm). Its description in RNAcentral is "long non-coding RNA (PDAC_LNC005896)". The record is from RNAcentral. Lineage: Eukaryota; Viridiplantae; Streptophyta; Magnoliopsida; Arecales; Arecaceae.
CCGGGUGCUCCGCCUUCCGCUUCUUGCCACCCCCAUGCCCUUGUCAGACCUGCCAUCGCCACCGCUACCUACCUAACGUCGGCCACUCCCGCCACCGCUGCCAGUGUCUACACCUUCCACCAUCCUUGAAUUUUCCAACUCGUGCUUCGCCCGCUGCCACCGUGCCUUUGGGGAAAUUAGUCGGGGAGUGUCGAGGCGAGAGAGAGAGAG